CUCAUCCCCUGGUAUAAGUUAUAAUUAGCAAAUAAGAUCAGUUAUUUUGGAUGUUACUAGGCCGUAUGAUAACUCACCAACGCGAGGUUACUAGACUCUGGGAUUUAUUGAGCAUGCAGUGUCAUUCCAUUCACAAGAAAAAGAAAGAAAGGAUUUACAGGUAUUUACAAGACAUACAAAUAAUUAUGUGACUGAAAAGCUUAUAUUAAUGUUUUAUAUCAGUUUUGCAUCUAGAUCUAUAUCAAAAUAGAAAAACAAUGAAUUAUUUUUAGAAUUUGAUUUUCAAACGCGGGCCAAAUUUCAUAACGCGGGCGGGCGACGGGAAACUGAACAUCGAGUUUUAGCGGCCAUAUCGAAUGAAAUACAAAAACAGAAGGAAAUAAUAUGGAGGUAAACGAGAAGAAAAAAAAUGACUGUAUCAUUAUCCACGUAUUUAUUGCAAUUUUAAUUACUUUAUAGACAAGGUCCCAUAGAAUUGAAUAUUGUAAUUAUGAUUGUUGUGAGUCGCCGUGUCGACCGACCUGGACUGAAAAACAACAUUGCCGAUCCUUGCUGGGCAGCCUGGGCUAUCGCUAGUUAUACGUUAGCGCGCUGAGCUGCGGCUCGCUAGCUAGCUCCGAUCCGAGGAGGUAAUUGCGUAAUGCUUUCAAUUCCGAGAUCAGAGCGCAUCCAUUUCGUGGUACGAAGUACUUAAGUCACCC
Lytechinus variegatus (green sea urchin) is the source of this 701-nucleotide long non-coding RNA. RefSeq lists it as uncharacterized. The transcript is spliced from 2 exons. Lineage: Eukaryota; Metazoa; Echinodermata; Echinoidea; Temnopleuroida; Toxopneustidae. The record is from RefSeq and is a predicted model, not a curated record.